ACACAGGUGGUGCAUGGCUGUCGUCAGUUCGUGCCGCAAGGUGUGGGUUAAGUCCCGCAACGAGCGCAACCCUCGUGUUUAGUUGCCAUAAAGUUUGGAACUCUGAACAGACUAUCGGUGUUAAGCCGGAGGAAGGUGAGGAUGAUGUCAAGUCAUCAUGCCCCUUAUACCCUGGGCGACACACGUGCUACAAUGGCCGGGACAAAGAGUUGCGACCCCGCGAGGGUAAGCUAACCUCAAAAACCUGGCCUCAAUUCGGAUUGCAGGCUGCAACUCGCCUGCAUGAAGUAGGAAUCGCUAGUAAUCGCCGGUCAGCCAUACGGCGGUGAAUUCGUUCUCGGGCCUUGUACACACCGCCCGUCACACUAGGGAAGUGUGCCAUGCUCGAAGUCAUUAUCUUAACCGCAAGGAGGGAGAUGCCCAAGGCACGGCUAGUGACUGGAGUGAAGUCGUAACAAGGUAACC
RNAcentral lists this ribosomal RNA (465 nucleotides) under uncultured soil bacterium. RNAcentral describes it as "bacterial SSU rRNA". It matches the Rfam family "Bacterial small subunit ribosomal RNA", at positions 1032 to 1501 of the family's 1533-position model. The record is from RNAcentral.